This is a long non-coding RNA of Pundamilia nyererei, 932 nucleotides long. RefSeq lists it as uncharacterized. The record is from RefSeq and is a predicted model, not a curated record. NCBI's taxonomy places the organism in Eukaryota, Metazoa, Chordata, Actinopteri, Cichliformes, Cichlidae. The transcript has 5 exons.
AGCAAUUUAACCAGUACAGUGCUUGCUUCUGAUGGAUUAAGAAAAUAAAAAAGAUGUGUAGAAAAAAAAAACACACGGAAGAUGUACAGAUUCACCUAUCAAGCCAUUUUUAAGAUGAAAUGAAGGAUUAAGAGACUGUUCACUUUUCUUCUGGAUGAACAUGAAGACUUAUCUCAUGAGGAUUUAGACUUCAGCAGCAGCAGCGCCAGUCGGAUUGUGUUUUAGGCACACUUGGAAAUCUAAACCUCAUGGAGAUACUUUGAGGAUUAUAAAAGAUGUGCAUGUAGAAUGCCACAAUACAAGACGCGUCCUGGGCCAAAGUCCUUGGGAUAGCAGGAUAUUGCUUUCCUGAUCCUUCUCAGCCCCCAGAAUGGGGAGUGUGGGAGUGGUGAGGUCUGGGAGAUCACGACCUUAAUUCUCUCCAAGACAGACGGUUUAAUUAACACUGGAAGAAUCCUCACUGACUCCAGACCUCUACAGUGAGAAUGUACAGGGGAAUUGGCUUGCCAAGGUCCUCUUGGCCAUAGACUGAAAUGCUGACAGACGAUGCCCAUGAAUGAUGAAUGAUGACUGGAGGUCUGUCUGGUGCCAGCAGAAUGCAUAAUACAGCAUCGAUACAGCAAUCGCAGUCCUCCUCAGCAGAAACAUGGUGCAGUUUCUGUAUCACAUUAUUGGAAGAUUUGCCCCAAGCAGGACAGCAGGACCACUCAAAGUGGAAAUCAACCGCAAUGUUGAAUGUUGUUUCGGUUGGAGUCCUAAACGAAGCAGCAUUACAAAGAGUUUUCUGGUGUGUCAGAGUGAGGCUCAGUGGGAAAGAUUGCUGUGUCUAGACAGGAGUGUGAGGUGCAGAUCUACACAGAAGCUUACAGGAAACUGAAGAAGACGGGUGAGGUUAAAAAGGACAGCACGAUGGAAAAAACAAGAAUGAAAGC